CAAAAAUCAACCGUAAGAAGAUUCAUUUUCUGAACUGGAAAAUUUCUUGAAUAUUAAAAGCAUUUAUUAUGUCCUUAAUGCUUACUGCAGCACAAUUUAUAUACCCUUUUUUUUAUAAGCAAGGAAAAUAUUAUUAAAAGAUUAAAAGAGUGAGGGUUAGAAAACCACUCACAGAACACUAGAACAAAGAAAACCUAAUCAAAACAACCAAAAUCUCUCUGCUAAAACAAACAGCUAAACUACCAAGAGAAGAGUUCUAAAGAAAUCAAAAAAGUUAAAAAAAUAAUGGGAUACACUAUGACAUAUUUGGCUGGAAAUAGGAUUUAAAUGUUUAAACCUGGCUCUAAAUUCCUAAUUAAAAUGGUACUUGAAAAGCUUGCGUAUCACUUAUUUCUCUCUCCAGUUUUCUCCUAUAAACUUUUUUGGGAUUAUGGGUCCAUUUUUCAAAUGUUUGAUGUGGAUAAUUCAAUUAUGUUGCUAGCAUGGGUGUUUAUACUGUCUUGAUGCAUGUUUAUAUGUGUGCAUAAAGAAUCUUCUUUGUAUUGAUCAUCUCUGAUUUCAGUUUAUUAGAUAUCAAUUUUGAAUGUUUUAUUCGCAUGGUGAAAAUCAAUUAUCUGCUUGAUAUUGAAAGCUCUCCAUUAAAUG
RNAcentral lists this unclassified non-coding RNA (645 nucleotides) under Hevea brasiliensis (rubber tree). The record is from RNAcentral. Lineage: Eukaryota; Viridiplantae; Streptophyta; Magnoliopsida; Malpighiales; Euphorbiaceae.